This 253-nucleotide ribosomal RNA is filed under the name uncultured bacterium. RNAcentral describes it as "partial 16S ribosomal RNA". It matches the Rfam family "Bacterial small subunit ribosomal RNA", at positions 524 to 776 of the family's 1533-position model. The record is from RNAcentral.
UACGGAGGAGGCAAGCGUUAUCCGGAAUUAUUGGGCGUAAAGCGUCCGCAGGUGGCACCUCAAGUCUGCUGUCAAAGACCGGGGCUUAACCCCAGAAAGGCAGUGGAAACUGAAGUGCUAGAGUGCAGUAGGGGUAGAGGGAAUUCCCGGUGUAGCGGUGAAAUGCGUAGAGAUCGGGAAGAACAUAGGUGGCGAAAGCGCUCUGCUGGACUGCAACUGACACUCAGGGACGAAAGCUAGGGGAGCGAAUGGG